Molecule: non-coding RNA, 99 nt
Organism: Acanthosepion pharaonis
Lineage: Eukaryota; Metazoa; Mollusca; Cephalopoda; Sepiida; Sepiidae
Source: the annotation of a GenBank genome assembly
AUUGAAACACCAGUUUCCAUGCAGUCACUAAAGUUAAGCAACAUUGAACCUGGCCAGUACUUAGGUGGGUGACUGCUUGGGAAUAUCAGGUGCUGUAAG